AGGUGAUCCCAAGAGUGACCUAUGGGCUUCCUGCUAGUCUCCCCCAUAUAAGCCCUGGGUGGAUCUAGCGUCUCUCUCUUUGAGCUCUGCUCUUCUGCUAAGCUGAGGUCCAGUGCAGUCGUGCCUAUUGUGUGUGUGUCCAUAGUUUUGGAGACCUCAAAGUCAAGUCCUGCAGCCUCCAUCAAGUCAAACAAAGGGGUUCACAGACAUCGGGAGCAGAGACUGGGGAGACAGGUCAACGACCGUUUUACUCCAACUGUGGCUUCUACUCGACCAGGAAGAAGGAAGACACGGGCCCCUGCUGUGCUCCGGAGGAGGAGAUUGCUGCAUGGGACAUCAGAAAAGAAAAAGCUUCUACCACUAAUGAUGAAUUCCCCUCUUCUUCUUACUGGAUCCACUUCUGACUUUGGCUCAAAAACUGCAGUGGAAGUUUUCCAAAAAAUGCCAGAAAAAAGCCUCUGUGGAAACCUAGCCUAAGGGCCCUAGAAGACAAGUUCCUGACUCCUGACACUUGUACGUUUGGCUCUUGAGUCAUUAUGUCCCUGUGCCUGUACUUUUGUGCAUGCCUCUUCCCUGUUUGUUACUGUUUGUUUGCAAUAGUAUGGUAAGUUUUUUUGCAACUUGUGGUAAAGUAUUUUCAGAUCCUGUAUUAUCUCUAUUUUUAGAAUCCUGUUUAGAUGAACUAUACGUUGGAACGGAAGUUUGCGUUGGACAUCAUUCUUUGUCUCUAAUAUAUAUUACUUUAGGUUUAUAUAUAGACUUUCUAUUAUUACCAGUCCUCCUAAAGGGGUUUUCAAGGAUUUUUUUAUUUUUAUUUUUACUAUGUUACAGGGGCUGUAAAGUUAGUGUUCUUCAUAAUAUAGUGGGGGGGGGGGGGGGGUAUUCAAAGAAAUUAGUGCCACUCUUUUGCUCUAGCUGCGCCAAAUUUGCUUAAAAUGUGUCGCACACUACUAGCACCACAUAUUCAGAUAUUUAGCACCUGAUUUAGCACCCUGUUAGCCAAUUUUUUUAAAGGGGUGUGGUUAGGGCAUAGUUAGGCUUUUUCAAAGGUUUAGCACCACUUUCUAGUGCUCAAUGUGUAUCACCUAAUACCAAGUAUACUUGGUGUUAAAUAAUUAGCUUUUUUGUACUAUUUGCCCCAAACUUUCAAAAGCCCAAACUUACUUUUGAAAAUGAGGCACCGUUAACACUCUUUGAGGAGAAAAAUA
Molecule: long non-coding RNA, 1208 nt
Organism: Hyla sarda
Lineage: Eukaryota; Metazoa; Chordata; Amphibia; Anura; Hylidae
Exons: 3
Source: RefSeq, a predicted model, not a curated record